RNAcentral lists this ribosomal RNA (463 nucleotides) under uncultured bacterium. Its description in RNAcentral is "bacterial SSU rRNA". It matches the Rfam family "Bacterial small subunit ribosomal RNA", at positions 28 to 507 of the family's 1533-position model. The record is from RNAcentral.
GAUCAACGCUGGCGGCGUGCCUAAUGCAUGCAAGUCGAGCGGGGUGGGUUUCGGCCCACUUACGCGGCGGACGGGUGCGGAACACGUGGGCAACCUGCCCCGAGGUGGGGGAUAGCCGGUGGAAACACCGGGUAAUUCCGCAUGAGGUCACCAGUCGGAGGACUGGUGAGGAAAGGGUCUUUGGACUCGCCUUGGGAGGGGCCUGCGGCCGAUCAGCUAGACGGUGGGGUAACGGCCUACCGUGGCGAUGAUCGGUAGCUGGUCUGAGAGGACGGCCAGCCACACGGGGACUGAGACACGGCCCCGACUCCUACGGGAGGCAGCAGCAAGGAAUCUUCCGCAAUGGGCGAAAGCCUGACGGAGCAACGCCGCGUGUGGGAUGACGCCUUUCGGGGUGUAAACCACUUUUCUCAGGGAAGAAGCACUGACGGUACCUGAGGAAGAAGGACCGGCUAACUACGUG